UUUGUUGAUGUUCGCUUUUAUGAGUGAAUGACUUUUUUACAGCUCUUCGAAGCUCCGGAUUGCACAGCUGAAAUGAAAAAAAGUAUGAGUUGAUUU
This is a non-coding RNA of Caenorhabditis elegans, 96 nucleotides long. NCBI's taxonomy places the organism in Eukaryota, Metazoa, Nematoda, Chromadorea, Rhabditida, Rhabditidae. The record is from Ensembl.